RNAcentral lists this ribosomal RNA (1449 nucleotides) under uncultured organism. Its description in RNAcentral is "SSU rRNA". It matches the Rfam family "Bacterial small subunit ribosomal RNA". The record is from RNAcentral.
GGCGUGCCUAAUACAUGCAAGUAGAACGCUGAAGAGAGGCUCUUGCUCUUCUUGGAUGAGCUGCGAACGGGUGAGUAACGCGUAGGUAACCUGCCUUGUAGCGGGGGAUAACUAUUGGAAACGAUAGCUAAUACCGCAUAACAAUGGAUGACACAUGUCAUUUAUUUGAAAGGGGCAAUUGCUCCACUACAAGAUGGACCUGCGUUGUAUUAGCUAGUAGGUGAGGUAACGGCUCACCUAGGCGACGAUACAUAGCCGACCUGAGAGGGUGAUCGGCCACACUGGGACUGAGACACGGCCCAGACUCCUACGGGAGGCAGCAGUAGGGAAUCUUCGGCAAUGGGGGCAACCCUGACCGAGCAACGCCGCGUGAGUGAAGAAGGUUUUCGGAUCGUAAAGCUCUGUUGUAAGUCAAGAACGAGUGUGAGAGUGGAAAGUUCACACUGUGACGGUAGCUUACCAGAAAGGGACGGCUAACUACGUGCCAGCAGCCGCGGUAAUACGUAGGUCCCGAGCGUUGUCCGGAUUUAUUGGGCGUAAAGCGAGCGCAGGCGGUUUGAUAAGUCUGAAGUUAAAGGCUGUGGCUCAACCAUAGUUCGCUUUGGAAACUGUCAAACUUGAGUGCAGAAGGGGAGAGUGGAAUUCCAUGUGUAGCGGUGAAAUGCGUAGAUAUAUGGAGGAACACCGGUGGCGAAAGCGGCUCUCUGGUCUGUAACUGACGCUGAGGCUCGAAAGCGUGGGGAGCGAACAGGAUUAGAUACCCUGGUAGUCCACGCCGUAAACGAUGAGUGCUAGGUGUUGGAUCCUUUCCGGGAUUCAGUGCCGCAGCUAACGCAUUAAGCACUCCGCCUGGGGAGUACGACCGCAAGGUUGAAACUCAAAGGAAUUGACGGGGGCCCGCACAAGCGGUGGAGCAUGUGGUUUAAUUCGAAGCAACGCGAAGAACCUUACCAGGUCUUGACAUCCCGAUGCUAUUUCUAGAGAUAGAAAGUUACUUCGGUACAUCGGUGACAGGUGGUGCAUGGUUGUCGUCAGCUCGUGUCGUGAGAUGUUGGGUUAAGUCCCGCAACGAGCGCAACCCCUAUUGUUAGUUGCCAUCAUUCAGUUGGGCACUCUAGCGAGACUGCCGGUAAUAAACCGGAGGAAGGUGGGGAUGACGUCAAAUCAUCAUGCCCCUUAUGACCUGGGCUACACACGUGCUACAAUGGUUGGUACAACGAGUUGCGAGUCGGUGACGGCAAGCUAAUCUCUUAAAGCCAAUCUCAGUUCGGAUUGUAGGCUGCAACUCGCCUACAUGAAGUCGGAAUCGCUAGUAAUCGCGGAUCAGCACGCCGCGGUGAAUACGUUCCCGGGCCUUGUACACACCGCCCGUCACACCACGAGAGUUUGUAACACCCGAAGUCGGUGAGGUAACCUUUUGGAGCCAGCCGCCUAAGGUGGGAUAGAUGA